UACGUAGGUGGCGAGCGUUAUCCGGAAUUAUUGGGCGUAAAGGGUGCGUAGGCGGUUUAUUAAGUCUGUGGUGAAAGUGCGGGGCUCAACCCCGUAUGGCCACAGAAACUGAUAGACUAGAGUACAGGAGAGGGCAGUGGAAUUCCAUGUGUAGCGGUAAAAUGCGUAGAUAUAUGGAGGAACACCGGUGGCGAAGGCGGCUGCCUGGCCUGUAACUGACGCUGAGGCACGAAAGCGUGGGGAGCAAAUAGG
RNAcentral lists this ribosomal RNA (252 nucleotides) under uncultured bacterium. RNAcentral's name for it is "partial 16S ribosomal RNA". It matches the Rfam family "Bacterial small subunit ribosomal RNA", at positions 524 to 776 of the family's 1533-position model. The record is from RNAcentral.